This 914-nucleotide ribosomal RNA is filed under the name uncultured marine archaeon. RNAcentral describes it as "bacterial SSU rRNA". It matches the Rfam family "Archaeal small subunit ribosomal RNA", at positions 1 to 922 of the family's 1478-position model. The record is from RNAcentral.
UUCCGGUUGAUCCUGCCGGACCUGACUGCUAUCGGAUUGAUACUAAGCCAUGCGAGUCUUUGCAGUAAUGCAAGGCAUACGGCUCAGUAACACGUAGUCAACUUACCCUAUGGACGAGGAUAAUCUCGGGAAACUGAGCAUAAUACUCGAUAGAUCAUAAUGCCUGGAAUGGUUUAUGGUUAAAAUGAUUCGUCGCCAUAGGAUGGGACUGCGGCCUAUCAGCUUGUUGGUGAGGUAAUGGCCCACCAAGGCGAUUACAGGUACGGGCUCUGAGAGGAGAAGCCCGGAGAUGGGUACUGAGACAAGGACCCAGGCCCUAUGGGGCGCAGCAGGCGAGAAAACUUUGCAAUGUGCGAAAGCACGACAAGGUUAAUCCGAGUGAUUUCUGCUAAAGAAAUCUUUUGCAAGUCAUAAAACCACUAGUGAAUAAGGGGUGGGCAAGUUCUGGUGUCAGCCGCCGCGGUAAAACCAGCACCUCAAGUGGUCAGGAGGAUUAUUGGGCCUAAAGCAUCCGUAGCCGGCUCUGUAAGUUUUCGGUUAAAUCCAUGUGCUCAACGCAUGGGCUGCCGAAAAUACUGCAUAGCUAGGGAGUGGGAGAGGUAGACGGUACUCAGUAGGAAGGGGUAAAAUCCUUUGAUCUAUUGAUGACCACCUGUGGCGAAGGCGGUCUACCAGAACACGUUCGACGGUGAGGGAUGAAAGCUGGGGGAGCAAACCGGAUUAGAUACCCGGGUAGUCCCAGCUGUAAACGAUGCAGACUCGAUGAUGCAUUGGCAUAUAGCCAGUGCAGUGUCGCAGGGAAGCCGUUAAGUCUGCCGCCUGGGAAGUACGUACGCAAGUAUGAAACUUAAAGGAAUUGGCGGGGGAGCACCACAAGGGGUGAAGCCUGCGGUUCAAUUGGAUUCAACGCCGGG